AGGACGAACGCUGGCGGCGUGCUUAACACAUGCAAGUCGAGCGGAAAGGCCCUUCGGGUACGUCGAGCGGCGAACGGGUGAGUAACACGUGAGUAACCUGCCCCUACGCUUCGGGAUAGCUCCGGGAAACCGGGAAUUAAUACCGGAUAUGACCACGGCCGACAUCGGCCACGGUGGAAAGAUUCAUCGGCUAGGGAUGGGCUCGCGGCCUAUCAGCUUGUUGGUGGGGUAACAGCCUACCAAGGCGACGACGGGUA
This 257-nucleotide ribosomal RNA is filed under the name uncultured bacterium. RNAcentral's name for it is "partial small subunit ribosomal RNA". It matches the Rfam family "Bacterial small subunit ribosomal RNA", at positions 26 to 285 of the family's 1533-position model. The record is from RNAcentral.